RNAcentral lists this long non-coding RNA (2259 nucleotides) under Homo sapiens (human). RNAcentral describes it as "HSALNT0326743". Lineage: Eukaryota; Metazoa; Chordata; Mammalia; Primates; Hominidae. The record is from RNAcentral.
CUGGAAUGUGUGGGAAGCUGACUCAAGCAUAUGCAUCUUUUAAAAACUCAGAUUGUUCUUCUGCCCCGAAAUCUUGAGAACCACUGACUUAUGUGGUCAGAAGUGAUCGACUCCCUGGGCUGGGAAGCUCCAAUUUUCUCCUCCAGAUUUCCUGUGUCGCCCUCUCCUCCCUGUCCUCUGCCCCAUUAGGGAGGAUGCAUGGAUUCCUUCAGCAAGCUCUUUGUCCUUCGGUUUCCAGUUCCUUGAGGAAUUUGUUCAUCGUCUACUGGGCCUGUUAUGUCAUUUUCAGUUUUGCCUCUGCUCUCUGCCUGGAAUGUUCCAUAAUUGCUUUUCAGAGAUGGGGUUUCACCAUGUUGUCCAAGCCGGUCUCUGUGGGCUCAAGUGAUCUGCGUGCCUCAGCCUCCUAAAGUGCUGGAACUACAGAGUUCUUUCUAGCUUUGGUUUUCAUCUGUUUAGGUAAAAAUGUGUCUACUUGUUUUAUUUCUCCCUACCCUCCCUGACUUGGGUUUUACAGAACUUCUUUAAUCCUGGGCUUGACAUUUUUCAUUGGUUUUGAAAAACUCUUAGCUAUUAUCUCUAGGUACUGUUUCUUCCCCCCUUUUUCUCUUCACUUCUUCUGGGACUAUAAUUACAAGCAUGUCAUUUUCCACUAUGCCCCCUAUGUUGUGCAUGCUGUUUUCUGUAUAUGUUCUUGUUAUUGAUGUUUCAAUCUAUACAUUUUCUACUGACCUAUAUUCUACCUCAAAAAUCUUUUCUUCACAUGUGUCUAAUUAUUAUUAAACCAUUAGUUACUUUCUUGGGGAUGCUGUAACAAAUUACCACCAACUUGGUGGCUUAAAAACAGAAAUUUACUCUCCCACAGUUCAGAAGGCUAGGAGUCUGAAAUUAAGGUGAUGACAGGACUAUGUUCUCUCAGGAAGCCCCUUCUAUAAUCUAGUUGUUCCAAGUAUUCUUUGGUUUAUGGCUGUGAAAUUCUAAUUUCUGCCUUCAUCUUCAUGUGGCUUUCUCCUCCUGUACCCCAUUUCUCUCUCCUCUGUAUGUCCCUUAUACAGAUCUUUUCAUUGGAUUUAGGGCCCACCCAGAUAAUCCAGGAUGAUCUCAUCUAGAGAUGCUUAAUAACAUCUGUAAAGACCCUUUCUCCAAGUAAGUUUUGGAUGUUAGGAUGUGGACCGUAUCUUUUGGGAGGACAUCAUUCAGCCCACUGCAGCCAUCUAAGGAGUUGUUAACAUGAGUUAUUGUUUCUGUAGCUGUGUAAUUUUCUUUAAAUUUCUUAUUUAUACUCCAAUUCUCUGCAGAAAGUAUUCAAUUUGGUUUUAGUUUUCUAAAAACAUAUUAGCCACAAUUAUUCUCAUGUCACAUCUAAUAAACUCCAAUAUCUACAUCUUCUGUGUUCUGUUUCUAUUGUAUGUUUUUACUCUUAGUUUUUUGCUAUAGAUCUUCUCCACUGGAUUAGUUGCAUUUUAGGAACAAAAAGCACCUUAAAGGCCUAUAGUAAACUGAAAGAAUUAUAUUCCUUGACCAUUUACAUUAUGAUGGGAAAAGAUCUUAUUUAUUGAAGUGAAAAAUAUGAUUUUCUUUUUUAUCUGCUUUAUUCUCAUCAGAAGAUGAUCCAUACAAAAUCUUCUUUGUUUUACAUAUGCGUAUAUACAAACGUGAUAUUACAAAAUAAUAGAUCAUGUCUAUGCCUUAUUAAAAAAUAUCUAAUAUUUUGAGAUAUAUAGUUUUUAAACACUGUGAAAAUCCAUGAACAAGACAUUAGAAAAAAAUUUCAUAAAAUAUUUUGGUUCUUCUGCACAUUUGUAAAAUUAUAGAGUCAAUAUAUUUGUAACUAGAAACUUUGUGUAUUUUUUUCUUCAGACUUUGUACGUGUAAAUGGAAGAAAACAGUUGAAACUAGCAUUCAAUAAUUUAAAUUUUAAAAUCCUACCACUGAAGACUUGGAUUAAACUGUCCAAGGCAGGAGUCAGAAACAAUCAGGUAACCAGCGAAACAAAGUUGCCAUUUGACUUUGAAAACAGAUGUAGCAUGUUGCCUCCCAGGUGUAACUUCUGUAAACUUGUUCAGCAUCUCUUGUUAAGUACCCUCAAAUCUGUCCUUAGAUUGUUGCUCAGAAAUUUUCCCUCCUCCCUGUGUCAUAUGCCAUCAAUGGUGGAGAGAGCCAAGUUCUGUCCCAGAAGAUUUCUAUAAAAGGGUCAGCUGGAUUGUUGGAGCUGUCAUGUAGCAAUUUGGAAAGCCCUCCCUGCUAGUAACUUUGUUGGAA